UCACAUGCACGUGUUGCGCGGGAAUGGAUAUGUUUACGUGUGCAAAAAAACGUGGAGGGAAAAGAGCGUGAAAUGUUGAGAGAGAAUGGAUGGUUACAAAAAUUUAAUGAAGGGGAAAAAAGCAAGACAAGUGUGGAUAGAACAUGGAAAUAUUGAAAGCAAAGGAGUAAAAUUUAAAAAGAAAUAAGAAUAAUUUAAAAAAUGUAACAAUUACAAUAAUAAAAUAAAAUAAAAUAAAAAUAAACAAAUAAAAUUGAAAUAAUUUAAAAUUUGAAAAAGCAACAUCGAGAGAAAAUUGAAAUGUAAAUGGAAUUUAAAUUAUACAUUAACAGAUUAAUCAUAUAAAUUAUAAUGUAUGUAAAGAAAGACUACAUCUAUACCAUAUUACAACAGCAUGCACACUUAAAAUAAUCGUAUUAAUCUCAAAUAUAUAAAUAGACAAAAAUCUAACUUGGAUUUAGCAAGUUUUUCGCAACAUAUAUAGGUUAAUAUAUAACUCUCGAAAAACUUUAAUUUCAUAACGAAUAUGGCGGAAGGAAAAGAUAAACACGAAUGUAAUAAAAAAUUAAUUAAUGAAGGAAAUAAAGAAGAGGAACAAAAAUCAAAAAUCUUUCUGAAAAAAAGGAUUAUUCGGAGGAUUUCUCAAUUAUCAGAGUGGAAUGUGUGAUGAAUUGAAGGAAUAGUGAGACAAGGCGAAAGUAGAGAGUGACAAGCAACCCAACGGGAUUUUAAGCUCAAGACGUCACGGGAGUUUAGCGAAACGGUUAAAGGAGCGAGUUAACGAGAAGUCCCUUUGUCCCAGAGGAUAACCUUCCUCUCCAUUAAAUGGUCCGCGUGAUAAAGUCCCUUAUGUAUCAACGAAUCCCUCAAGAACAAAUUAGAGGAAUCCUAUUUUCGAUCUAAUUUUCUACUAUACUAAUUGUAAGAGUAUAAUAUCAUAUCUGUAACUGUGAGAAACAAAUUGACAUUCUCGAAAGAAUUUGGAUUAUUUUUUUUUUAACAUCAAAUCUUGUGUCAAUUAUUAAUGGAUCAAUGAAUCAGUUUUUCAAUUUUUCAUCAGUUCUUUGAAAAUAUGCAUCACGAUUGAAUUUCAUCGAAAAUAUAAAACAUGAAAUUAGCAUACAUUCAAAAUAUAUCAUGGAAAUCUUUUCGUGAUCUUAACGGAAAUCAAAAAAAAGAAUAAAAAAAAUUUCAUCCGAAAGUAUUUCGAGUGAAAUCGUGUCGCCUAACCUAACUCGGGCAUAGAGCAGGAAAUAUUUCUGACAACUUCGUUGCGCGGAAAAAGUUAGAAGCUUUCGCCGAACAUGCUAUUUAGUACAGCUGAAGUUAUUUACGGGUUAACCUUGUAUUUACCAAGCGACUAGCAAUUGCAGAAACUCUUAUUUUCCGCGUACCGUACGAAAACUGUCCACUCCAUUGCAGCUAAGCUAGUGUUACGUUGAAUUUGAUAAAUGCACGUGAAUUUGGGUCAUAGGAUGGAGCGAAAUCAUAUGACAAUAUAAAUUGAAUCUAAUCGUUAAUAUUGAAUAAAUUUUUUAGAAUUUAAGAUUCUAAAUAUAAAUGGAUGGAUAAAUUAUGAAAAUUCUUUACAAUUUUUUACU
Molecule: long non-coding RNA, 1601 nt
Organism: Apis laboriosa (Himalayan honeybee)
Lineage: Eukaryota; Metazoa; Arthropoda; Insecta; Hymenoptera; Apidae
Exons: 3
Source: RefSeq, a predicted model, not a curated record